This is a non-coding RNA of Phascolarctos cinereus (koala), 670 nucleotides long. The record is from RefSeq and is a predicted model, not a curated record. NCBI's taxonomy places the organism in Eukaryota, Metazoa, Chordata, Mammalia, Diprotodontia, Phascolarctidae.
CCGCAUUGCCAUCUUAUGAAUAUUACGAGAAGGGUCUCUCGAGAACACAAGUCGAGCCUUGACCUGGUGUCCCUUCGGAAGUGCCUUUCUGGGCAUGCGCUGGCUAAAGCCUCAGCCACCUCCCCUGAUUCUUCCCUAAAGGCGCAAACUCACCCUCUGACUCCCCUGUGCAAUGACAGGCUAAGCCACACACCCAAAGCCAAAAAAAAUUGAUAGGUCUUAUUUCCACAAGGGAUGCUCCCUUGGAUGAUGGCUACUCUGAGGCCACUGCUGAAGGAGAAACUGCUCCAAAGCAGUAGCAACAUUGUUAGGAAGAAUCAUCUUUAUCGCAAAGAAGAGAUGUAAGAACAAACAUUUCCCUGCUACUUUAUGGAGUGUGUACAUAUCAAGAGCAGUAACUUGCAACUUCUGCAACCAGAAAAACACAGGGUGAGACUGAGUAGGAGACAUAUUUACCUGGCACGUCACUGGCAGAGGAAAGAAGUAGCAGAGGACACAGGUUUCUAAGUUAAAGGAGGAAACUGAUGCUACAUUUCAGAAAAGAUCAAUACUAAAAUUAAAAUGAAGGCUCUAGUCAAUGGAAAGAAUUGGCAAAUAAAUUCACUGAUAAAAGGCACAGUACCUCCAAGUGCUCAUGGAUUGUACCAUCUUCAUGCUCUUUUAGAAAGUA